GACGAACGCUGGCGGCGUGCUUAACACAUGCAAGUCGAACGGAAAGGCCCUGCUUUUGUGGGGUGCUCGAGUGGCGAACGGGUGAGUAACACGUGAGUAACCUGCCCUUGACUUUGGGAUAACUUCAGGAAACUGGGGCUAAUACCGGAUAGGAGCUCCUGCUGCAUGGUGGGGGUUGGAAAGUUUCGGCGGUUGGGGAUGGACUCGCGGCUUAUCAGCUUGUUGGUGGGGUAGUGGCUUACCAAGGCUUUGACGGGUAGCCGGCCUGAGAGGGUGACCGGCCACAUUGGGACUGAGAUACGGCCCAGACUGCUACGGGAGGCAGCAGUGGGGAAUAUGGCACAAUGGGCGGAAGCCUGAUGCAGAAACGCCGCGUGCGGGAUGACGGCCUUCGGGUUGUAAACCGCUUUCGCCUGUGACGAAGCGUGAGUGACGGUAAUGGGUGAAGAAGCACCGGCUAACUACGUG
This 468-nucleotide ribosomal RNA is filed under the name uncultured bacterium. Its description in RNAcentral is "partial 16S ribosomal RNA". It matches the Rfam family "Bacterial small subunit ribosomal RNA", at positions 28 to 507 of the family's 1533-position model. The record is from RNAcentral.